AAUGAACCGGCGAGUUACGAUUUGAUGCAAGGUUAAGCAGUAAAUGUGGAGCCGUAGCGAAAGCGAGUCUGAAUAGGGCGUUUAGUAUUUGGUCGUAGACCCGAAACCAGGUGAUCUACCCUUGGUCAGGUUGAAGUUCAGGUAACACUGAAUGGAGGACCGAACCGACUUACGUUGAAAAGUGAGCGGAUGAACUGAGGGUAGCGGAGAAAUUCCAAUCGAACCUGGAGAUAGCUGGUUCUCUCCGAAAUAGCUUUAGGGCUAGCCUCAAGUGAUGAUUAUUGGAGGUAGAGCACUGUUUGGACGAGGGGCCCCUCUCGGGUUACCGAAUUCAGACAAACUCCGAAUGCCAAUUAAUUUAACUUGGGAGUCAGAACAUGGGUGAUAAGGUCCGUGUUCGAAAGGGAAACAGCCCAGACCACCAGCUAAGGUCCCAAAAUAUAUGUUAAGUGGAAAAGGAUGUGGCGUUGCCCAGACAACUAGGAUGUUGGCUUAGAAGCAGCCAUCAUUUAAAGAGUGCGUAAUAGCUCACUAGUCGAGUGACACUGCGCCGAAAAUGUACCGGGGCUAAACAUAUUACCGAAGCUGUGGAUUGUCCUUUGGACAAUGGUAGGAGAGCGUUCUAAGGGCGUUGAAGCAUGAUCGUAAGGACAUGUGGAGCGCUUAGAAGUGAGAAUGCCGGUGUGAGUAGCGAAAGACGGGUGAGAAUCCCGUCCACCGAUUGACUAAGGUUUCCAGAGGAAGGCUCGUCCGCUCUGGGUUAGUCGGGUCCUAAGCUGAGGCCGACAGGCGUAGGCGAUGGAUAACAGGUUGAUAUUCCUGUACCACCUAUAAUCGUUUUAAUCGAUGGGGGGACGCAGUAGGAUAGGCGAAGCGUGCGAUUGGAUUGCACGUCUAAGCAGUAAGGCUGAGUAUUAGGCAAAUCCGGUACUCGUUAAGGCUGAGCUGUGAUGGGGAGAAGACAUUGUGUCUUCGAGUCGUUGAUUUCACACUGCCGAGAAAAGCCUCUAGAUAGAAAAUAGGUGCCCGUACCGCAAACCGACACAGGUAGUCAAGAUGAGAAUUCUAAGGUGAGCGAGCGAACUCUCGUUAAGGAACUCGGCAAAAUGACCCCGUAACUUCGGGAGAAGGGGUGCUCUUUAGGGUUAACGCCCAGAAGAGCCGCAGUGAAUAGGCCCAAGCGACUGUUUAUCAAAAACACAGGUCUCUGCUAAACCGUAAGGUGAUGUAUAGGGGCUGACGCCUGCCCGGUGCUGGAAGGUUAAGAGGAGUGGUUAGCUUCUGCGAAGCUACGAAUCGAAGCCCCAGUAAACGGCGGCCGUAACUAUAACGGUCCUAAGGUAGCGAAAUUCCUUGUCGGGUAAGUUCCGACCCGCACGAAAGGCGUAACGAUUUGGGCACUGUCUCAACGAGAGACUCGGUGAAAUCAUAGUACCUGUGAAGAUGCAGGUUACCCGCGACAGGACGGAAAGACCCCGUGGAGCUUUACUGUAGCCUGAUAUUGAAAUUCGGCACAGCUUGUACAGGAUAGGUAGGAGCCUUUGAAACGUGAGCGCUAGCUUACGUGGAGGCGCUGGUGGGAUACUACCCUAGCUGUGUUGGCUUUCUAACCCGCACCACUUAUCGUGGUGGGAGACAGUGUCAGGCGGGCAGUUUGACUGGGGCGGUCGCCUCCUAAAAGGUAACGGAGGCGCUCAAAGGUUCCCUCAGAAUGGUUGGAAAUCAUUCAUAGAGUGUAAAGGCAUAAGGGAGCUUGACUGCGAGACCUACAAGUCGAGCAGGGUCGAAAGACGGACUUAGUGAUCCGGUGGUUCCGCAUGGAAGGGCCAUCGCUCAACGGAUAAAAGCUACCCCGGGGAUAACAGGCUUAUCUCCCCCAAGAGUUCACAUCGACGGGGAGGUUUGGCACCUCGAUGUCGGCUCAUCGCAUCCUGGGGCUGUAGUCGGUCCCAAGGGUUGGGCUGUUCGCCCAUUAAAGCGGUACGCGAGCUGGGUUCAGAACGUCGUGAGACAGUU
RNAcentral lists this ribosomal RNA (2016 nucleotides) under Staphylococcus aureus. Its description in RNAcentral is "partial 23S ribosomal RNA". It matches the Rfam family "Bacterial large subunit ribosomal RNA", at positions 614 to 2631 of the family's 2925-position model. Lineage: Bacteria; Bacillati; Bacillota; Bacilli; Caryophanales; Staphylococcaceae. The record is from RNAcentral.